Molecule: long non-coding RNA, 214 nt
Organism: Sebastes umbrosus (honeycomb rockfish)
Lineage: Eukaryota; Metazoa; Chordata; Actinopteri; Perciformes; Sebastidae
Exons: 3
Source: RefSeq, a predicted model, not a curated record
ACAACAAGGCAAGGUGACAUGCAAGAUGUGUAACUUUAGCUCACUACUAGUGUUCGCCUCCAGUCUUUACUUUGUUAUGCCUCCAGCUAACACCGUGACGUAAUCAUGACGUCGGCUGUGAAAGGGUCUAUAGCUAAUAAUCAUGGGACUGUAAAAGUAGCAUGUGAUGAUAUGCUUGAUUCACGUAGAAACACAUGGCGAGGCACAAAGACGG